This is a long non-coding RNA of Daktulosphaira vitifoliae (grape phylloxera), 309 nucleotides long. RefSeq lists it as uncharacterized. The record is from RefSeq and is a predicted model, not a curated record. The transcript has 3 exons. Lineage: Eukaryota; Metazoa; Arthropoda; Insecta; Hemiptera; Phylloxeridae.
UUUGUAAUUUUUAGAUGGCGUUUGUCGUGUGCCCCGAAGGACUGCUUCGAUAACGAGAGCGCUGCUGGCUCUAACCAUCUCACGAACGGAGGAUUUAUUAACGCGGUUUUUAGACGGCGUUUGUUGUAUAUUAUGUUUCAAUAACGGCUCGGCCUGUAGGCCAAUUGGUUCUAAUGGAUAACGGAUUUAUUACGCGGACGGUAUCUUUGGUGCCACGAUAACGAGUAAGCUAGAGAUUGAUGAUGGCAGUCAUCGCUAUUGGAUUUAUUGCAGAGGUAAUUCGUUUUCAUUUGUUAAAAAAAAUUUAUU